Molecule: ribosomal RNA, 497 nt
Filed under: uncultured bacterium
Lineage: Bacteria
Description: partial 16S ribosomal RNA
Rfam family: Bacterial small subunit ribosomal RNA
Source: RNAcentral
GACGAACGCUGGCGGCGUGCCUAAUACAUGCAAGUUGAGCGCUGAAGGUUGGUACUUGUACCAACUGGAUGAGCAGCGAACGGGUGAGUAACGCGUGGGGAAUCUGCCUUUGAGCGGGGGACAACAUUUGGAAACGAAUGCUAAUACCGCAUAAAAACUUUAAACACAAGUUUUAAGUUUGAAAGAUGCAAUUGCAUCACUCAAAGAUGAUCCCGCGUUGUAUUAGCUAGUUGGUGAGGUAAAGGCUCACCAAGGCGAUGAUACAUAGCCGACCUGAGAGGGUGAUCGGCCACAUUGGGACUGAGACACGGCCCAAACUCCUACGGGAGGCAGCAGUAGGGAAUCUUCGGCAAUGGACGAAAGUCUGACCGAGCAACGCCGCGUGAGUGAAGAAGGUUUUCGGAUCGUAAAACUCUGUUGGUAGAGAAGAACGUUGGUGAGAGUGGAAAGCUCAUCAAGUGACGGUAACUACCCAUAAAGGGACGGCUAACUACGUG